CUACGGAAGGCAGCAGCUAAGAAUAUUCCGCAAUGGGCGAAAGCCUGACGGAGCAAUCUCGCGUGAGUGAUGAAGGCCUUCGGGUUGUAAAGCUCUUUUGGCAGGGACGAAUAAUGAAUAGUUAAUCGCUAUUCUGAUGACAGUACCUGCAGAAUAAGCACCGGCUAAUUACGUGCCAGCAGCCGCGGUAAUACGUGGGGUGCAAACGUUGUUCGGAAUUACUGGGCGUAAAGGGUGCGUAGGCAGCCAUGAAAGUUAGAGGUGAAAUCCCGGAGCUCAACUCCGGAACUGCCUUUAAUACUGCGUGGCUAGAGUUGUUUAUAGAGGUAGCAAGAAUUCCUAGUGUAGGAGUGAAAUCUGUAGAUAUUAGGAGGAAUACCAAUGGCGAAGGCAAGCUACUGGGUAACAACUGACGCUGAAGCACGAAAGCCAGGGGAGCGAAUGGGAUUAGAUACCCGUGUAGUCCU
This 467-nucleotide ribosomal RNA is filed under the name uncultured bacterium. Its description in RNAcentral is "bacterial SSU rRNA". It matches the Rfam family "Bacterial small subunit ribosomal RNA", at positions 339 to 797 of the family's 1533-position model. The record is from RNAcentral.